This 497-nucleotide ribosomal RNA is filed under the name uncultured bacterium. Its description in RNAcentral is "partial 16S ribosomal RNA". It matches the Rfam family "Bacterial small subunit ribosomal RNA", at positions 28 to 507 of the family's 1533-position model. The record is from RNAcentral.
GACGAACGCUGGCGGCGUGCCUAAUACAUGCAAGUUGAGCGCUGAAGGUUGGUACUUGUACCGACUGGAUGAGCAGCGAACGGGUGAGUAACGCGUGGGGAAUCUGCCUAUGAGCGGGGGACAACAUUUGGAAACGAAUGCUAAUACCGCAUAAAAACUUUAAACACAAGUUUUAAGUUUGAAAGAUGCAAUUGCAUCACUCAAAGAUGAUCCCGCGUUGUAUUAGCUAGUUGGUGAGGUAAAGGCUCACCAAGGCGAUGAUACAUAGCCGACCUGAGAGGGUGAUCGGCCACAUUGGGACUGAGACACGGCCCAAACUCCUACGGGAGGCAGCAGUAGGGAAUCUUCGGCAAUGGACGAAAGUCUGACCGAGCAACGCCGCGUGAGUGAAGAAGGUUUUCGGAUCGUAAAACUCUGUUGGUAGAGAAGAACGUUGGUGAGAGUGGAAAGCUCAUCAAGUGACGGUAACUACCCAGAAAGGGACGGCUAACUACGUG